Molecule: ribosomal RNA, 253 nt
Filed under: uncultured bacterium
Lineage: Bacteria
Description: partial 16S ribosomal RNA
Rfam family: Bacterial small subunit ribosomal RNA
Source: RNAcentral
UACAGAGGGCCCAAGCGUUACUGAGAAUCACUGGGUUUAAAGGGUGCGUAGGUGGUCCGUUAAGUCAGUUGUGAAAUCCCCGGGCUCAACCCGGGAACUGCUUCUGAUACUGGCGGACUUGAGGCCAGUAGGGGUCACUAGAACUGACGGUGGAGCGGUGAAAUGCGUAGAUAUCGUCAGGAAUGCCGGUGGUGAAGACGGGUGACUGGGCUGGUUCUGACACUGAGGCACGAAAGCGUGGGGAGCGAACGGG